Molecule: long non-coding RNA, 2628 nt
Organism: Pan troglodytes (chimpanzee)
Lineage: Eukaryota; Metazoa; Chordata; Mammalia; Primates; Hominidae
Exons: 3
Source: RefSeq, a predicted model, not a curated record
UCCUGCCCCACCUUAACUGAGUGAUUAACCCUGUGAAUUUCCUUCUCCUGGCUCAGAAGCUCCCCCACUGAGCACCUUGUGACCCCUGCCCCUGCCCACCAGAGAACAACCCCCUUUGACUGUAAUUUUCCAUUACCUUCCCAAAUCCUAUAAAACGGCCCCAUCCCUAUCUCCCUUCACUGACUCUCUUUUCGGACUCAGCCCGCCUGCACCGAGGUGAAAUAAACAGGCAUGUUGCUCACACAAAGCCUGUUUGGUGGUCUCUUCACACGGACUUGAGUGAAAUUUGGUGCUGUGACUCGGAUUGGGGAACCUCCGUUGGGAGAUCAAUCCCCCGUCCUCCUGCUCUUUACUCCAUGAGAAAGAUCCACCUACGACCUCAGGUCCUCAGACCAACCAGCCCAAGAAACAUCUCACCAAUUUCAAAUCUGAGACAAAGGAGACACGUUUUAUCCAUGGACCCAAAACUCCGGCGCCGGUCACGGACUGGGAAGGCAGACUUCCCUUGGUGUUUAAUCACUGCAGGGACACCUCUCUGAUUAUUCACCCACAUUUCAAAGGUGUCAGACCACACAGGGAUGCCUGCCUUGGUCCUUCACCCUUCGCGGCAAGUCCUGCUUUUCUGGGGGAGGGGCAAGUACCCCUCAACCCCUUCUCCUUCACCCUUAGCGGCAAGUCCUGCUUUUCUGGAGGAGGGGCAAGUACCCCAACCCCUUCUCUCCGUGUCUCUACCCCUUCUCUGCUUUUCUGGAGGAGAGGCAAGUACCCCAACCUCAUAUCUCUGCACCCCGAUCCCUUAUUUCCACGCCCCGACCUCGUAUCUCUGCGCCCCGACCCCUUCUCUGUUUUUCUGGAGGACAAGAAACCCCCACCCCUUCUCUGUGUCUCUACUCUUUUCUCUGGGCUUGCCUCCUUCACUAUGGGCAAGCUUCCACCUUCCAUUCCUCCUUCUCCCUUAGCCUGUGUUCUUAAGAACUUAAAACGUCUUCAACUGUCACCUCACCUAAAAUCUAAGUGUCUUAUUUUCUUCUGCAAUGCCGCUUGACCCCAAUACAAACUCGACAGUAGUUCCAAAUAGCCGGCAAACGGCACUUUCAAUUUUUCCAUCCUACAAGAUCUAAAUAAUUCUUGUUGUAAAAUGGGCAAAUGGUCUGAGGUGGCUGACAUCCAGGCAUUCUUUCACACAUCAGUCCCUUCCUAGUCUCUGUGCCCAGUGCAACUCAUCCCAAAUCUUCCUUCUUUCCCUCUCGCCUGUCCCCUCAGUCCCAACCCCAAGCAUCGCUGAGUCUUUCUAAUCUUCCUUUUCUACAGACCCAUCUGACCUCUCCCCUCCUCACCAGGCCAAGCUAGGUCCCGAUUCUUCCUCAGCCUCCGCUCCUCCACCCUAUAAUCUUUUUAUCGCCUCCCCUCCUCACACCUGGUCCAGCUUACAAUUUCGUUCCAUGAGUAGCCCUCCCCCACCUGCCCAGCAAUUUACUCUUAAAAAGGUGGCUGGAGCCAAAGGCAUAGUCAAGGUUAAUGCUCCUUUUUCUUUAUUCCAAAUCAGAAGCGUUUAGGCUCUUUUUCAUCAAAUAUAAAAACCCAGCCCAGUUCAUGGCUCAUUCAGCAGCAACCCUGAGACGCUUUACAGCCCUAGACCCUAAAAGGUCAAAAGGCCAUCUUAUUCUCAAUAUACAUUUUAUUACCCAAUCUGCUCCCGACAUUAAAUAAAACUCCCAAAAUUGGAAUCUGGCCCUCAAACCCCACAACAGGACUUAAUUAACCUCACUUUCAAGGUGUACAAAUAAUAAAAAAAAGUUGCAAUUCCUUGCCUCCACUGUGAGACAAACCCCAGCCACAUCUCCAGCACACAAGAACUUCCAAACGCCUGAACCGCAGCAGCCAGGCGUUCCUCCAGAACCUCCUCCCCCAGGAGCUUGCUACAAGUGCCAGAAAUCUGACCACCAGGCCAAGGAAUGCCUGCAGCCCAGGAUUCCUCCUAAGCCGUGUCCCAUCUGUGCGGGACCCCACUGGAAAUCGGACUGUUCAACUCACCUGGCAGCCACUCCCAGAGCCCCUGGAACUCUGGCCCAAGGCUCUCUGACCGACUCCUUCUCGGCUUAGCAGCUGAAGACUGACACUGCCCGACCACCUCGAAAGCCCCGUAGACCAUCACAGACGCCGAGCUUCAAGUAACUCUCACAGUGCAAGUUUUGGCACAGCAACCAAAGAGCCUUCCUUCCUGAUGACAGACCACCAACCACGGAGUGAUUCUGGACAGUCUAUGGAGGAUGCACAGUGAAGGUUUUCAUGUCCUCCGCUUCACCUUCAGAUGUUAGAGGGCUGGGAACUCCAUCCUCUGAUAAUGCAAAUGCCACCAUUUUUGCUCAAGGGGCCCAUGAAGGGGCAUGAAGCUGAACUGCACAUGUGAAUGUUUCUCCUUUCAUAAAUCUUCAUGACUCCUCCUAUAGCUUACUAAAUAUGUAUAUUGGGCUACCUUGCUCAGCAAAAAUUCCUGUUCCCUUUGCCCUUCCCUCCAAGUAUCUGUUUCAAGCUUCUGGGGGGAAGCUAUGCUUCCCAGCCUGUCAGAAUGGCCACUCUGCAGGCUGCAAUCCUUUAUGAGAAAUAAAGCUCUCCUUUUUAAAUUUA